RNAcentral lists this ribosomal RNA (497 nucleotides) under uncultured bacterium. RNAcentral describes it as "partial 16S ribosomal RNA". It matches the Rfam family "Bacterial small subunit ribosomal RNA", at positions 28 to 507 of the family's 1533-position model. The record is from RNAcentral.
GAUGAACGCUGGCGGCGUGCCUAAUACAUGCAAGUCGAGCGAACAGACGAGGAGCUUGCUCCUCUGACGUUAGCGGCGGACGGGUGAGUAACACGUGGAUAACCUACCUAUAAGACUGGGAUAACUUCGGGAAACCGGAGCUAAUACCGGAUAAUAUAUUGAACCGCAUGGUUCAAUAGUGAAAGACGGUUUUGCUGUCACUUAUAGAUGGAUCCGCGCCGCAUUAGCUAGUUGGGAAGGUAACGGCUUACCAAGGCGACGAUGCGUAGCCGACCUGAGAGGGUGAUCGGCCACACUGGAACUGAGACACGGUCCAGAGUCCUACGGGAGGCAGCAGUAGGGAAUCUUCCGCAAUGGGCGAAAGCCUGACGGAGCAACGCCGCGUGAGUGAUGAAGGUCUUCGGAUCGUAAAACUCUGUUAUUAGGGAAGAACAAAUGUGUAAGUAACUAUGCACGUCUUGACGGUACCUAAUCAGAAAGCCACGGCUAACUACGUG